AAGGCCGGAAUAGCUCAGUCGGUAGACCAAAG
RNAcentral lists this transfer RNA (32 nucleotides) under Pelekium intricatum. RNAcentral's name for it is "partial tRNA-Phe". The record is from RNAcentral. Lineage: Eukaryota; Viridiplantae; Streptophyta; Bryopsida; Hypnales; Thuidiaceae.